RNAcentral lists this ribosomal RNA (450 nucleotides) under uncultured bacterium. Its description in RNAcentral is "bacterial SSU rRNA". It matches the Rfam family "Bacterial small subunit ribosomal RNA", at positions 29 to 524 of the family's 1533-position model. The record is from RNAcentral.
AACGAACGCUGGCGGCAUGCCUAACACAUGCAAGUCGAACGAGACCUUCAGGUCUAGUGGCGCACGGGUGCGUAACGCGUGGGAAUCUGCCCUUGGGUUCGGAAUAACUGUUAGAAAUGACUGCUAAUACCGGAUAAUGUCUUCGGACCAAAGAUUUAUCGCCCAGGGAUGAGCCCGCGUAGGAUUAGCUAGUUGGUGAGGUAAAGGCUCACCAAGGCGACGAUCCUUAGCUGGUCUGAGAGGAUGAUCAGCCACACUGGGACUGAGACACGGCCCAGACUCCUACGGGAGGCAGCAGUGGGGAAUAUUGGACAAUGGGCGAAAGCCUGAUCCAGCAAUGCCGCGUGAGUGAUGAAGGCCUUAGGGUUGUAAAGCUCUUUUACCCGGGAUGAUAAUGACAGUACCGGGAGGAUAAGCCCCGGCUAACUCCGUGCCAGCAGCCGCGGUAAU